AGAGUUUGAUCCUGGCUCAGGAUGAACGCUGGCGGCGUGCCUAAAACAGAUAAGGAGCUUGCUCCUUUGACGUUAGCGGCGGACGGGUGAGUAACACGUGGGUAACCUACCUAUAAGACUGGGAUAACUUCGGGAAACCGGAGCUAAUACCGGAUAACAUUUGGAACCGCAUGGUUCUAAAGUGAAAGAUGGUUUUGCUAUCACUUAUAGAUGGACCCGCGCCGUAUUAGCUAGUUGGUAAGGUAACGGCUUACCAAGGCGACGAUACGUAGCCGACCUGAGAGGGUGAUCGGCCACACUGGAACUGAGACACGGUCCAGACUCCUACGGGAGGCAGCAGUAGGGAAUCUUCCGCAAUGGGCGAAAGCCUGACGGAGCAACGCCGCGUGAGUGAUGAAGGGUUUCGGCUCGUAAAACUCUGUUAUUAGGGAAGAACAAACGUGUAAGUAACUGUGCACGUCUUGACGGUACCUAAUCAGAAAGCCACGGCUAACUACGUGCCAGCAGCCGCGGUAAUACGUAGGUGGCAAGCGUUAUCCGGAAUUAUUGGGCGUAAAGCGCGCGUAGGCGGUUUCUUAAGUCUGAUGUGAAAGCCCACGGCUCAACCGUGGAGGGUCAUUGGAAACUGGGAAACUUGAGUGCAGAAGAGGAAAGUGGAAUUCCAUGUGUAGCGGUGAAAUGCGCAGAGAUAUGGAGGAACACCAGUGGCGAAGGCGACUUUCUGGUCUGUAACUGACGCUGAUGUGCGAAAGCGUGGGGAUCAAACAGGAUUAGAUACCCUGGUAGUCCACGCCGUAAACGAUGAGUGCUAAGUGUUAGGGGGUUUCCGCCCCUUAGUGCUGCAGCUAACGCAUUAAGCACUCCGCCUGGGGAGUACGACCGCAAGGUUGAAACUCAAAGGAAUUGACGGGGACCCGCACAAGCGGUGGAGCAUGUGGUUUAAUUCGAAGCAACGCGAAGAACCUUACCAAAUCUUGACAUCCUUUGAAAACUCUAGAGAUAGAGCCUUCCCCUUCGGGGGACAAAGUGACAGGUGGUGCAUGGUUGUCGUCAGCUCGUGUCGUGAGAUGUUGGGUUAAGUCCCGCAACGAGCGCAACCCUUAAGCUUAGUUGCCAUCAUUAAGUUGGGCACUCUAGGUUGACUGCCGGUGACAAACCGGAGGAAGGUGGGGAUGACGUCAAAUCAUCAUGCCCCUUAUGAUUUGGGCUACACACGUGCUACAAUGGACAAUACAAAGGGCAGCUAAACCGCGAGGUCAUGCAAAUCCCAUAAAGUUGUUCUCAGUUCGGAUUGUAGUCUGCAACUCGACUACAUGAAGCUGGAAUCGCUAGUAAUCGUAGAUCAGCAUGCUACGGUGAAUACGUUCCCGGGUCUUGUACACACCGCCCGUCACACCACGAGAGUUUGUAACACCCGAAGCCGGUGGAGUAACCAUUUAUGGAGCUAGCCGUCGAAGUGACAAAUGUG
This 1468-nucleotide ribosomal RNA is filed under the name Staphylococcus saprophyticus. RNAcentral describes it as "bacterial SSU rRNA". It matches the Rfam family "Bacterial small subunit ribosomal RNA". The record is from RNAcentral. Lineage: Bacteria; Bacillati; Bacillota; Bacilli; Caryophanales; Staphylococcaceae.